This 404-nucleotide unclassified non-coding RNA is filed under the name soil metagenome. RNAcentral's name for it is "partial contains 5.8S ribosomal RNA, internal transcribed spacer 2, and large subunit ribosomal RNA". The stretch from base 1 to 122 matches the Rfam family "5.8S ribosomal RNA", at positions 35 to 154 of the family's 154-position model. The record is from RNAcentral.
GAUGAAGAACGCAGCAAAAUGCGAUACUUGGUGUGAAUUGCAGAAUCCCGUGAACCAUCGAGUUUUUGAACGCAAGUUGCGCUCGAAGCCUUUUGGCCGAGGGCACGUCUGCCUGGGCGUCACACAUCGCGUCGCCCCCCACAACUCUCCGUAAAGGGAACUUGUGUUUUGGGGGCGGAUAUUGGUCUCCCGUGCUCAUGGCGUGGUUGGCCGAAAUAGGAGUCCCUCCGGUGGACGCACGAACUAGUGGUGGUCGUAAAAACCCUCGUCUUUUGUUUCGUGCCGUUAGUCGCGAGGGAAACUCUUUAAAAACCCAAAUGUGUCGUCUCUUGACGGCGCUUCGACCGCGACCCCAGGUCAGGCGGGACUACCCGCUGAGUUUAAGCAUAUCAAUAAGCGGAGGA